Molecule: long non-coding RNA, 670 nt
Organism: Nicotiana attenuata
Lineage: Eukaryota; Viridiplantae; Streptophyta; Magnoliopsida; Solanales; Solanaceae
Exons: 2
Source: RefSeq, a predicted model, not a curated record
AAGUUAUACUGUGACACAGCCGGUCCCAAGCCCGGAUAAAGGAGGAGGGUUUGUUGUUUAUUAGCAAUGACACUUAUGUUUUUAUUUUUUGAUUCAGCUGUACUAUGUGAACUGCUUUAAAUUUGAUUAGUAUCUUCAUCAGUUCCCUUAGAUGGACUGUUUGCCAUUUUUUAAAAAAGACUUUCUAAAUCUGUUAUAUGUUUUCCUCAGUCUUACUUAUCUUUCAGGAUAUCAUAACCAAAAAAAUUGUAGAGGCAACAAAGAAUACUGCUGUAAGUUAAUGGGAAUGGAGACAACUGAUCAGAGUGUUCACUUAGAAGAAACUGGAAGACUUGAAAUGGAUGUUCGAUUCACUAGCUGCACAAUCUCAAAGCAGUGGAGAAUACAUUCUUCAUGGUUAUUAGUAUUCAAAUCAGACUAUUCUUUUUUAGAAACAUGUUGUUCUUUUUCAUUAUUUUGGUGUAUGAUUUUAUUGAGUUUUAAUUGAGAAUGUUUAUGUGGGCCUUCCAUUAAGCAUUAGUUGUGAUUGUAAUGUCUAGAGAUGUCUUGAUAUAUCUGAGGAUGAGGGUUGGUUGAGUUGGUGAAAAGAAAAAGUGAACCGUGUGUCUAAUUUUGAUGACUGAAGAAGAACCCAAGUAGUUAAAUAAAUAUAGCCUGUAUCUCUUUCUGA